CCUACGGGAGGCAGCAGUGAGGAAUAUUGGUCAAUGGACGAGAGUCUGAUCCAGCCAAGUAGCGUGAGGGAUGAAUGCCCUAUGGGUUGUAAACUUCUUUUAUAAAGGAAUAAAACGAGGCACGUGUGCCUUUUUGCAUGUACUUUAUGAAUAAGGAUCGGCUAACUACGUGCCAGCAGCCGCGGUAAUACGGAGGUGCCGAGCGUUAUCCGGAUGUAUUGGGUUUAAAGGGAGCGUAGAUGGGGUGUUAAGUCAGUUGUGAAAGUUUGCGGCUCAACCGUAAAAUUGCAAUUGAUACUGGCAGUCUUGAGUACAGUUGAGGUAGGCGGAAUUCGUGGUGUAGCGGUGAAAUGCGUAGAUAUCACGAAGAACCCCGAUGGCGAAGGCAGCUUACUAAACUGUGACUGACAUUGAUGCUCGAAAGUGUGGGUAUCAAACAGGAUUAGAUACCCGAGUAGUC
RNAcentral lists this ribosomal RNA (460 nucleotides) under uncultured bacterium. RNAcentral describes it as "partial 16S ribosomal RNA". It matches the Rfam family "Bacterial small subunit ribosomal RNA", at positions 338 to 795 of the family's 1533-position model. The record is from RNAcentral.